UUAGCACCCAAGCAGGACCUGCUGAACCUGGGGCCCUAUAGGAGAGCACUGAUGGCCCACCCCUGAUUGUGGCCCUGGUCUUCAUGUCUGCAUCAGCCUCAGCCAUCUCAAGACCACAACAGGAACAUAGCCAAGUCAGAGAAGGAAGACCAAAAGCACCAGGGCCCUUCAUAUUAUUAAGCUGCUAAAUUAACUAAUCUUGGAAACUUCUAGACUCUACAAUUCUUGUUGUAUGAGUGGAUUGACAAUUAUUCUCUGGACUUUUUGGUAACCAAGAACUUCUAGCAACUAACCCUGGCAUGACCACCAGAAUCUGCAGGGCUGAGAGAAGAAAGAAAGGCAAAAGUGGAUGAAUGCAGCUGAAGAUGCUGUGGAACUCCUAUCACAUUCCAAGUGCUGUGUUGAUAUCUGGAGAUAUAGACAAGAUCGAAGCAGAUGCAGUCUUUCACAUGAAUAUUUGAAUCAGGCACAGGAUGCAGGUGAUGGGUAUUGGCCUCAGCUUUAGAGACCAGAGGUUAAAUCUCAGUGCUGCCUGCCACAAAACGAUCCAUGUAAGUCAAUAAACAAUGCUUUUUAAAAUAUUAUUAUAAAGAUAUAGUGUGUGGAUCCCUCUCAAUUGUCCAUUCUUCCCUGUCACAAAAAUUUGCCUGCUUUUCGUUACCAUGUGAGAGGCAAAUGAAUUGAACUAAAUGGUUUCUAAUGCCCUGUCCACCUCUAAAAUUCUAUAGAACUGUGAUUUGAUUCCAAUGGGCCAUAUCAGGACUCGGCAUUAUUUUCAUCAGUGAACCAUUUCAUUAGAAAUUUAUUUUUCCAAAUGAUAUUAGUAAAUAUUGAAGGAGGCUUCUCCCACAGAGCUUCUUGUACAAAUUAAAACAGGGCAGUAGAAGGUUUUCAGGUUGG
This 900-nucleotide long non-coding RNA is filed under the name Homo sapiens (human). Its description in RNAcentral is "non-protein coding lnc-TNFAIP6-2:3". The record is from RNAcentral. Lineage: Eukaryota; Metazoa; Chordata; Mammalia; Primates; Hominidae.